Molecule: ribosomal RNA, 1169 nt
Filed under: metagenome
Description: bacterial SSU rRNA
Rfam family: Bacterial small subunit ribosomal RNA
Source: RNAcentral
GCAGUGGGGAAUAUUGCACAAUGGACGGAAGUCUGAUGCAGCGACGCCGCGUGAGGGAUGAAGGCCUUCGGGUUGUAAACCUUUUUCGCUUUUGACCAAGGCAGCAUUUUGGUGUUGUUGAGGGUAUGAGGUAAAGAAGCUCCGGCUAACUACGUGCCAGCAGCCGCGGUAAUACGUAGGGAGCGAGCGUUGUCCGGAUUUAUUGGGCGUAAAGGGCUUGUAGGUGGCUUGUCGCGUCUGCCGUGAAAUUCCGCAGCUUAACUGUGGUAGUGCGGUGGGUACGGGCAGGCUUGAGUGUGGUAGGGGAGACUGGAAUUCCUGGUGUAGCGGUGGAAUGCGCAGAUAUCAGGAGGAACACCGGUGGCGAAGGCGGGUCUCUGGGCCAUUACUGACGCUGAGGAGCGAAAGCGUGGGGAGCGAACAGGAUUAGAUACCCUGGUAGUCCACGCUGUAAACGUUGGGAACUAGGUGUGGGGCCUGUCAUGGGUUCUGCGCCGGCGCUAACGCAUUAAGUUCCCCGCCUGGGGAGUACGGCCGCAAGGCUAAAACUCAAAGGAAUUGACGGGGGCCCGCAUAAGCGGCGGAGCAUGCGGAUUAAUUCGAGGCAACGCGAAGAACCUUACCAAGGCUUGACAUACACCGGAAGCUGCCAGAGAUGGUGGUCUCUUUGAUACUGGUGUACAGGUGGUGUAUGGUUGUCGUCAGCUCGUGUCGUGAGAUGUUGGGUUAAGUCCCGCAACGAGCGCAACCCUUGUCCUAUGUUGCCAGCACGUUAUGGUGGGGACUCAUGGGAGACUGCCGGGGUUAACUCGGAGGAAGGUGGGGAUGACGUCAAAUCAUCAUGCCCCUUAUGUCUUGGGCUUCACGCAUGCUACAAUGGCCGGUACAGAGGGAAGCGAUAUCGUGAGGUGGAGCGGAUCCCUUAAAGCCGGUCUCAGUUCGGAUCAAAGUCUGCAACUCGACUUCGUGAAGGUGGAGUCGCUAGUAAUCGCAGAUCAGCAACGCUGCGGUGAAUACGUUCUCGGGCCUUGUACACACCGCCCGUCACGUCAUGAAAGUUGGUAACACCCGAAGCGCGUGGCCUAACCUUUUUGGGGGGAGCGUGCGAAGGUGGGAUUGGCGAUUGGGACGAAGUCGGAACAAGGUAGCCGUACCGGGAGGUGUGGCUG